RNAcentral lists this ribosomal RNA (287 nucleotides) under uncultured bacterium. RNAcentral's name for it is "partial 16S ribosomal RNA". It matches the Rfam family "Bacterial small subunit ribosomal RNA", at positions 773 to 1060 of the family's 1533-position model. The record is from RNAcentral.
GUGGAUUAGAUACCCGGGUAGUCCACGCAGUAAACGAUGCCGACUAGGCGUGGGGGGACUUGACCCCCUCCGUGCCGAAGCUAACGCAUGAAGUCGGCCGCCUGGGGAGUACGGCCGCAAGGCUAAAACUCAAAGGAAUUGACGGGGGCCCGCACAAGCGGCGGAGCGUGUUCUUUAAUUCGUCGCAACGCGAAGAACCUUACCAGGGUUUGACAUCUCCCUGCAUGCCGCCGAAAGGUGGAGGCCUACGAGGGUGGGAGACAGGUGCUGCACGGUUGUCGUCAGCU